This 11351-nucleotide long non-coding RNA is filed under the name Capsicum annuum. RNAcentral's name for it is "long non-coding RNA (CANN_LNC007613)". Lineage: Eukaryota; Viridiplantae; Streptophyta; Magnoliopsida; Solanales; Solanaceae. The record is from RNAcentral.
CCUAACAAAUUUUAUCCUAACCAACUCACCCUACCCUACCUCACUACCCUAGAUCCCCUCCCCUUUCCAUUACGCACAAAGAGGGGAUUUUCUAUUUUUUCUUUCUCUGAACACUACAAUACGCAGGGGAAAGCAACACAAUUUGGAAAAAAAUACACCCACUUCACAUAUCUAUGCACACACACACUAUCACAGAGGUAUACAUAUACUGUCACCACACAGUGAAAAGAAGGGAGGAUUAGGCGCACAGUGAAGAAGAGACAAGGGAGAGAGAGAAAAGGCAAACACCGGUGAUGAAAGUGAUCGGAAGACUGAGAAGAAGACGGAAGGAAAAUCCGGUCAUCUCGCCGGAAUAUACUCUCACCGGUGACCAAGCUCUUCAUUAGAAAAUGACCCAAACUAUCCAGAAAACAGUAGCCAGCGACCAAAUAAACUACAGCAGUUCACAGGCUGCUCAGAAUUUCACCGGAGACACGCUAAAACCGAUCAAAAUCGUCCUAAACAUAAAAAAAAACAAAAGUGGGUUUGUCUUUCGGAUUUUGGGAAUCGAGUUUGAGGUCUGUUCGUGGUUCAUGGGUUCACGAGGCUCCCGUCGCUAUUGAAUUGGUUCAAGUUGAGUGAAUAAAAUGCUCAUUUGAGGUCCAAUUCUACUCCUUCCAUCUUUUAUUUCAUUGUUGGUGAUAUUUGAUGCGUUGGAUUGAAUAUCAUUAAUUGCUUGUGUGUGAUGUGAGUGAUGAACAUUGAGUUUACAGUAGUUGUGGAAUGUUGGAAAUAGCAGUGUGUUUGUUAUGUUUGAAUCUUUGUUGUGAGUUGAUUGAUAUUGGUUUCAGACUUUAAAAAGUGAAUUGAUAAUCGAAGCAUGUGCUAAUCAUUGAUUGAGCAUGAAAUUAUGGGGUUUGAAAUUGAAAGAUUGAUUUGGUGAAUGUUUAUUAUUUUGUUAAUUGUCAAACACGAUAUUAUCAUGUUUAGGCCGAAAUUCAUAGGCAAAUUCUAAGUUUUUGGGCAGGCAACUCGUAGGAUUCUAAUCAUCGAAUGUGUAAAUGUUUGUGUUGAGUGAUUUUCUUUAUUUUUAUCGCAUUUUAUUAAAUGUAUUCAUUUAGCCGGGGAAUGCCCCGACGCUCAUUGUAUUUAUUUACGGGAGAAUGUCCCGACAUAUUAUGUCUUCGAAAGAUGUUCGCGAUCAAGGCCCGAGGCAUCGGGUAAAGAAACGUGGGCAUAAUUAGGAUUAGUGUAGAUUAGAGUAGGAUUUAUUUUUUGCACUUUUUAUUUUGGACUGUACAAUUGGACUAGACACUAUAUUUUGAAUUUGUUUUGUUUUGUGUGUUUGAUUGAUUGUUUUAUGUGUUUUUGUGUGGUUUAUACAUUUUGUAGUAUCAAAUUAGCGGAUAUGAUCCACCAAGCGACCGUGGUCAAACCACGGGAUUGAGGGGUGCCUAUCACCUUCCCCUCGGUCAACAGAAUUCCUUAGCCGGAAUCUCUGUUCGCAAACCGGUUUUAAAGAGUCAAAAUCAUUUUGAAAAGGAUUUUCAAAAGUGACUUGGCACCAAAUUUAUGUCAGGUGGUGACUCUGAAUAAAAAAUAUAAAUAAUCUUUUUUCAGAACAAAACUUUCAUCUUUUGUCACUUUGAUAAUAAAACCCUUUCGAACUUUAGAAUUUAUCUAUUGGUUAAAAAGGGGGUGUGACAGCUCUGGCGACUCCACUGGGGAGUCAUUUCAGAAUUCGAGCUUAUUUUUUGGAGUUGUAUCGGCUUAGUUUGGCAUUAUGGGUGUAUAAACGUUGUUUGUGUUGUUUUGUGUUAUUUUUUUUUCAUUGUUGAGUGCUUGUGUGCUCUUUGUUUACAGUUUUUAUCUAUGUGUUACCGCUUUAUAUCUGACAUCAUGUGCAUAACCCGAGUCAUUCUUUCUGCAACAAGUCCGUAGUGCACGCUGUGUACACGACCUCUAGUUGAGUCACCCUUAUCUUAGGAGGGGGAGCCGUGGGCUGGUAUGGAGUGGGUGGAAAGCUAUAGCAGCGACUAUCGACCAUACNNNNNNNNNNNNNNNNNNNNNNNNNNNNNNNNNNNNNNNNNNNNNNNNNNNNNNNNNNNNNNNNNNNNNNNNNNNNNNNNNNNNNNNNUUUGGUUCUUUGUAGGAAACUCACCUCUAAGGCAUCCCUACGUGCUAAAUGUUGCAUCUUUGAGGGUAACGAGGUCAUUUGACAGACUGAUUUGGGCAAAAGCAUGUGUUAGAAGCAAAGUAUGUAAGCAAGAAAUUGUUGAAAUAAAAAAGAAGAAAAAAGAGUGAAAAAAAAAAGAUUUGGUAGUUUUUAGGGCUCUUUAUGACUUUUGUUUUUCACAAUUAAAAAAAAAUAAUAUUUUUUUACUUUUUGUACUCAUUUUCCAAAAAAUUAAAGACGUUAAAAAAAAAUUCCUUUUAUUUCUUUAGUAAGUAUUCACAAUUCGAAAACUCCAAAAAUAUUUUUUCCUUUCAAUAGGAGCUUUGUACAUUUUUAUAUAACGAAAAUAUCAAAAGAUUUUUUCUUUCAUAGUUGUUGGUGUUAGUUUCUAAUUAAAAACCCAAAAAAGAUUUUAUUUUUAUCGUCUGUCUUUAGUCGAAUUGAGUUUGUUAUUUAAUCCUUAAUUGUCCAAUCUGGACGAACUAUGCACUCCUGAUUCUCCUCUCUCAGUAGUGAGAUAUGUAGGCAUCCUAUUGUUGGUUCGGGGAUCUUAUUUGAAAAAUUCAAAAAAAAAAAAGAUUUUCUUCACUCUUUAUUAGAGUAGGUGUUUCAUAUACAUCUUUAAAAGAAAACUACAAAAAAAGAUUUUUCCUUUAAUAGGUUCAAGUUUCAUUUUCAUAUGAAAUUCAAAAUCGAAAACCCCAAAAGAAAAUUCUUUGGUAAUCAUAGGUUUCAUUUUGUAUAGGGAGUUUAAACUUGAAAAUGCAAAAAAAAAUAAAAAUAAAAAAAUUUCGUCAAUUCUUUUGACAAUUUGUUAUUUCCUUUUCUUUUAAAAGUUUCAAGAAAAAGAAAAAGAAUUAAUCGGCCAUUUUGACAAGACUUCACGAAUUACGCACACCUGAUUCUCCUCUCUCGGGAGUGAGAUACGUAGGCACCCUUCUUGGGUUCGGUGACCUUUUCAAAAAGAAAAAAAAAGGUUUUGAAAAAAAAGUGUUGAAUUCUAACGCAUUUGCUAUCUCUUGUUCAUUUAGUUUAAGGUGAUUGGUUUGUGGCAUUUUGGCUGGUCCUCCAUAUUGCACCAAGUCACAGAGAAAGUUAUGGCCAACAAGGAUAUCGAGAUUAUUGUGACUAAUCAGAUUGGGAGUUCGGGAAAUGAAAAUUUAGGAGAUAAUAAAGAGAUUCAGAAAUUAAGGCAGCAAAUGAUAGAAAUGCAUCGAGCUUGGGCUAAUGGGUUGCCACCUCCUCCAGUUCCCACUGAUAAUCUGAAAUAUCUUUCUAGCUUGUUUCCCGUGUCGCAUGCACAAUUUCCCAUUUUUAUUGAUAUGCCACAACAUGCAUUAGGAUCGACUCCGGGACAACAAUAUCCAACCACUUUUAAUGUUCAUUUUCUCACUCCUCAAUCCAAGACUACCACAUACUCGGCUCCACCUGCUGUUCAUGCUUUUGCGGCACCACCCCCACCUGAAGCUCCUACUUUUGAUGUUCAUCCACAAGUUGUGCCUCCCUACUCUACAAGAGAGCCUGUAUUAAUAUUACUGGUGAUCAGUGUUACACUUUUGAGCCUACAUUCAAGUUGACUGGUCUUUAUGGUGACACUCACCCGCCUGAAUUUCCUCCUAACACUGAGAAGCCUGUUAUGACAGAAGAACAAGAGAAAAUGACUAGAAAAUUGAGAAGUUUCGAACUGGCUAUGAAGAACUUGCAAGGACUUGGGGGUUACAAAAGUGUCUCAUAUAAAGAUCUGUGCAUGUUUUCGGGUGUUCAUCUCUCUCUUGAUUUUAAAAUGCCAAAGUUUGAGAAAUAUGACGGACACGGGGACCCAAUGACACAUUUGAGGCGCUAUUGUAACCAAUUAAGGGGCGCUGGAGGGAAGGAAGAACUACUCAUGGCUUAUUUCGGGGAGAGUGUUUAAAGCCUAGCUUCGAAAUGGUUUGUUGAUCAAGACAUCAACAAGUGGAUUAGUUGGGAUGACCUAGCUAAUGAAUUUGUGCAAUAAUUUCAAUACAAUGUGGAGUUGAUCCCUGAUGAAAAAUCUCUAACCAGUAUGAAGAAGAAGAAUACUGAGAGUUUCAGAGAGUAUGCGAUCAGAUGGCGUGAACAAGCUGCUAGGGUGAGGCCGCCAAUGAAAGAAAGCAAGAUAGUGGAGGUGUUUAUUCAAGCGCAAGAUAAAACAUAUUAUCAACAUUUUUUACCUGCGUUAGGCAAGCCAUUUAUUGAGGUCCUUAAAAUGGGGGAGAUGAUAGAAGAGGGAAUUAAGACUGGGCGUAUUGUGAGUUUUGCAACAUUGAAAGCGACUACUCAAGCAAUUCAAAAGGGAUCAGGAAGUGUUGGGGAGAAAAAGAAUGGGGAAGAUGCAUCUGCUAUUGUAGUUGGACAACAGGAAAGGUCAAGAAGACCACGUCGUCGUCACUCUCAGGCACAAGACCAAGUUCAUGCCCAAGCUUCAUAUAAUCACUCCCAAAAUCCAUUAUACUUUGCUCCUCCCCCUCCAUAUCCAGUAUAUAACACACAACCACUUAUUCAACCCCCAUGUUACCCACAGUGGAACACACCAACUCCUCAGAGACAUCAUCUAACACCACAAACAUACCAAAACCCUUCCAAUCCUGAUUUUCGAUCCAAGUCAAACGAUGAAAUGAGGCAAAAGUCGAGAGAUAGCUUCACACCAAUUGGAGAGUCGUAUGCCAGUUUAUUUUAGAGAUUGGUACAAUGGGGCAUGAUCACUCCUCUCCUUGGGUGCACUCUUAAUCAACAUUCAAGAAACUUUGAUCCUAAUAUACGAUGUGCAUAUCAUUCUGAUGCUUAGGGUCAUAGUAUUGAAGAUUGUCGUGAUUUGAAAAGAGAAAUUGAAAAGAUGAUUCAAGAUGGAUCAAUUAUGGUGCAGAACGUUGACAGUGAGGGAAGUUCUAGUCAUGCUGAUAUAUAAACCAGUGGAUAAGUCAUCAGGCUGAGCAAUUGAGAAGUCACCCCUCUCCUUACUAGGAAGAGGUCUGGUAGUUUGUUUUGUCUUAUUUUCUAUUUUCCGAAUUAUUUCAGGGUUGUAGUUCGGGAUCUAUUUUCUUUUGUCCCUUUGUCAUUUAUGUUCAAACCCUUCUAUCUUUUAUUUCAACUAAAUGGAUUUUCCCUUUCCCUUUGUGUUUAAAUAUGUGUCGUUUGUUUGUUUUCUUUGUACAAUACAUUUUAUGUUGAUUCUAGUGAUAUGACAUACUAGCGGAAUUUUCAGCUAGAUCUUAAAAUCCAACUUAACCAUGAAACAUUGAAUCAGAGGGCUAAAGUUAGGAAAAACAUCUGAGAAAAUAGGUGGAGUGCUGAGACAUUUGGUGACAAGUUGAAGCCUUCUUCAAAAAUUAAGUUAAUUACUUUGAGAAUCACAAGAAUAACUUGGUCAUCAAUUGAAAGACAUGUCUCAAUUAGGUUAAUAGUAGCUGCAUGAACAGAAAGAAAAUCAACUCCACGAAAGCAUGAUUCAUUAAAUUGGAAGGAUGUACAACAAAUAUAGAGUUGUAUGUUUGAAAAGUAUAGAAAAGAGGUGACACACAUGCUCGGGGCAAGUUAGUGUUGUAAAACACGUCAUAAGUGAUGUUGAUCAUGCACUUUCACAUUGGAUGCUAGGUACUAGUAUUUUCAAGGAUUGAUAUAACGAAGGUAUUUUAUUCUGCUAUCCAAACAUUGUGUCAUCCUUUGUUUACCCAUUUGAGCCUUAGUGUUAUUUUCUUUCAUACCCCUCUUUUGGAAUCAAUAUAAAGCCAACAAAGCUCAAAAGAAAAGUAUUGAGUAAGAGAAUAGAGUCAGAAAGCUUCAAAAUAAAAAAAGAAAAAAUGUGUCCAAGAAGGAAGAAAAGAGUGUCAAGGAAAUUAGAGUCAGAAAAAUCACAAAGAAAAAAAAAGUCAAAAUAAAAAAAAAGAACAAGUCAGAAUCAAGCAAAAAAAGAACAAGUGGCCAGAACUACACGUGACCUGAUUCUCCUCUUUUGGGGGUGAGAUACGUAGGCUGCCCUACUCAGGGAUCGGUCCAACAAAAUAAAAUUUAGUAUUGCCCAGUCAAAAGAAACUGGGGCAUGAGUUGAUCCUCAUUGUUUGAGUCGAUUCCAAAAGUUGUAAGUCCCACCCCACUUCAAGUGUCGUUUGGUCCCCAUGCCAUCCUUUUCUUUCUAACCCUAUCGAAAAUCCAAGUUACAACCAAAGAAAGACCUUCAGAUCAAUCUUCGAGAAUGCUCAGGCUAAGCAUGCAAUGGAUGUGGAUAACGCAUUUUGGGAACUACUUGUCUUCCUCAGCAUAAGGAAUCAGGAGAGAAAUGAAAAUGAGAGAGUCUUAUCAGUGAAAACCCUCAUGGGCACUGUAAGACGACGGUGAGUUGAGAUAAAUAAAAAUGAGAAAGUCUUAUCGGUGAAAACCCUCACGGGCACUGUAAAACGACUAUGAGUUGAGAAAAAUAAAAAUAAGAAUUUUAUUGGUAAAAACCCCUCUCGGAUACUAUAAGGCAAUGGUCAGGUGAUAAAAGGAAAUGAGAGGGGCUUGUUGGAGAAAACCCUUCAAGGCGUCACUAGCCGAAUGAGGUCUCUGAAUGCAAUUGGCCCAAGAAAGCAACUCACUUUCAGGGUCAUUAACUCAACAACAAUUUGUGAGAGUUUGGGAUGGAAAGAUCAGGUAGUUUAAUCCGAUAUGCAUGUCAUAAUUAUUAGAGUUGAUUGUCAUUUUCAGAUAAACUUUUCUUUCAUCUUUUUCAAUGGGGACAUUCAUUAUCAUUUCUUUCUUUUCUAUAGUUAUAUUUUUAUUUUUCUUGAGUCAUUUAUCCAAAUAAAAUCAUUGUCAUUUUUCUCUUGUCUUUGAGUCAAGUCUAUGUCAAAAUAAGUGAGAAAAGAUUUCAAAACUGGCUACCAGCUUCUUCAAUUGUACAAAGAAAGGAUGAAAGGCCAAUGUAUGAAAGAGACAUGAUUGUGAGCCAAAAUGAGGCAAGCAGAAAGUUUUGUCAACAAAUAAAUCUGGGAACUCAUGAAAUACCAAGGUUCGAAGGGGUCUAUCUGAGAAGCAUGGCAAAGCAGAGAUGCUGUGUUUGUCUCAGUCACUCUUAAUAAUCUGAGUUUGGUCAAUGAAGCAGUAAGUCAAUGAUACAGGCUAAUGGUUGGAAGCAAGAUUAAAUGUGAUGACGACAAGAGCGUUUGCCACGAAAGCCAAAGCCACAAACUAGCCACCAUAUUUUUAAACUCACAACCUUUCUUUGCAUGAAAUAGGAACACAUGCUACCUUCAAAUAAAGGAUUUCAAAGCCUAAACAUCAAGGCCCGUAAUUUCUCACUAUUACAAAUGCAGGAAGCAAUGUUGCUGCACAGGUUUGAUAAUUAAAUCAUGGUAAAAAUUCAUCAUCUUAUAUCCCUCGAAGACACACUUUCUUGUCCAGGGAUUUCAAUUUUCAUUUGCUGGAUGAUACACUUCUUAAAUUAAACCUUCACUCCUAGAGGACGUACCUUUUAGUUGAGUCAUUCCCUUUGAUUCCUAUAAGAUGUACCUUUUAGUCGAGUCAUCUCCUUUGAUUCCUAUAAGACGUACCUUUUAGUCGAGUCAUCUCCUUUGAUUCCUAUAAGACAUACCUUUUAGUCGAUUCAUUCCCUCUGAUUCCUAUAAGACGUACCUUUUAGUCGAGUCAUCUCCCUUGAUUCCUAGUAAGACGUAUCUUUUAUUCGAGUCAUCUCCCUUAAUUCCUAUAAGAUGUACCUUUUAGUCUAGUCAUUCUUCUUGACCCCUAGAAGACGUACCUUUUAGUCGAGUCAAUUCCUUUGAUUCUUAUCAGACGCACCUUAUAGUCGAGUCAUUCUUCUUGAUUCCUAUAAUGAUGUGACUUUUGCAAAAGUCCUUUGAUGAUAAACUGGGGCAAAAUUUAAUUCUUGUGUUGGAACUUCACUUUUCUGGCAAAUGAAACCUCUUUAUAAUAAUCUUUGUUUGGGAUAAUUUUUUUUUAGUUUUGAUGUGAUUUCAGGAGCCCUCCUGAAGAGCGGGGUGAAUAAAUAAAAAGUCAAGCAACAUAGUGAAGAAGUUGAAAGUCAAGAAAAAAGAGCCGCAGGCCGGAACCUCGAUGGGACCUCACUCGACUCUCCAACUCGGUUGUCUUUCUGCCUUUUAUUUCUUUCUCUGAAUAAUGGUCGGGACAAAAUUUUGUCUUGUUGUCUACUUCUUUAUCUGAAAACGCUUUGUGUUUACAUUCAAAGGGGUCAUGAUAUAGACACCUAAUUUCGUCCCUCCUCGAUAUCAUUUUUACCCAUUCUACCUUAUCCUACCGUGUACCCUCACCCAUGUUAUUAUACCUUCCAUAAAAUGAUAAAAAAUAACAACCUCUAACUAAUUUUAUUUUUAUUCUAACAACCUAUCCAAUAAAAAAUAAAAAACCACUACCCCACCUACCCUAACAAAUUUUAUCUUAACCAACUCACCCUACCCUACCUCACUACCCUAGAUCCCCUCCCCUUUUCUUUAAUGAAAUCACGCACAAAGAGGGGAUUUUCCAUUGUUUUCUUUCUCUGAACACUACAAUACGCAUGGGAAAGCAACAUAAUUCGUAAAAAAAUACUCCCACUUCAUAUAUCUAUGCACACACACACAAUCACAUAGGUAUACAUAUACUGUCACCACACAGUAAAAAGGAGGGAGGAUUAGGCGCACAGUGAAGAAGAGACAAGGGAGAGAGAGAAAGCACGAACACCGGUUAUGAAAGUGAUCGAAAGACUGAGAAGAAGAUGGGAGGAAAAUCCGGUCAGCUCGCUGGAAUAUACUUUCACCGGUGACUAAGCUCUUUGUUAGAAAAUGACCCGAAGGACCCGAAAAACAGUAGUCGGCAACCAAAUCAACUGCAGUAGUUCACGGGCUGCUUGAAAUUUCACCGCAUACACGCUAAAAUUGAUUAAAACCAUCCUAAACAUCAAAAAACAAAAGUGGGUUUGUCUUUGGGAUUUCGGGAAUCGAGUUUGAGGUCUGUUCGUGGUUCAUGGGUUCAUGAGGCUCCCAUCGCUGUUGAAAUUGGUUCAAGUUGAGUGAAUAAAAUUCUCAUUUGAGCUUCAAUUCUUCUCUUUCCAUCUUUUAUUUUAUUGUUGGUGAUGUUUGAUGCGUUGGAUUGAAUAUCGUUAAUUGCUUGUGUGUGAUGUGAAUGAUGAACAUUGAGUUUACAGGAGUUGUGGAUUGUUGGAAAUAGCAGUGUGUUUGUUAUGUUUGAAUCUUUGUUGUGAGUUGAUUGAUAUUGUUUUCAGACUUUGAAAAGUGAAUUGAUAAUCGAAGCAUGUGCUAAUCAUUGCUUGAGCAUGAAAUUAGGGGGUUGGAAAUUGAAAGAUUGAUUUGGUGAAUAUUUAUUAUUUUGUUAAUUGUCGAACACGAUUGUAUCAUGUUUAGACCAAAAUUUAUAGGCAAAUUCUAGAUUUUGGGGCAGGAAACUCGUAGGAUUCUAAUCAUCGAAUGUGUAAAUGUUUGUGUUGAGUGAUUUUCUUUAUUUUUAUCACAUUUUAUUAAAUGUAUUUAUUUAGCCGGGGAAUGCUCCGAGGCUCAUGGUAUUCAUUCACCGGGGAAUUUCCCGACGUAUUAUGUCUUCAAAGGAGGUUCGCGAUCAAGGCCCGAGGCAUCGGGUAAAACAACAGGGGCGUAGUUAGGAUUAGUGUAGAUUAUAGUAAGAUUUAUUUUUUGAAUUUUUUAUUUUGGACUGUAUAAUUGGACUAGACACUAUAUUUUGAAUUUGUUUUGUUUUGUGUGUUUGAUUGAUUGUUUUAUGUGUUUUUGGGUGGUUUAUACAUUUUAUAGUGUCAAAUUAGCCGAUAUGAUCCACCAAGCGACCGUGGUCAAACCACGGGAUCGAGGGGUGCCUAUCACCUUCCCCUAGGUCAACAGAAUUUCUUAGCCGGAAUCUCUAUUCGCAAACCAAUUUUAAAGAGUCAAAAUCAUUUUGAAAAGGAUUUUCAAAGGUGACUUGGCACACCGAAUUUAUGUCAGGUGGCAACUCUGAAUAAAAAAUAUAAAUAAUCCUUUUUUGAAACAAAACUUUCAUCUUUUGUCACUUUGAUAAUAAAACCCUUUCGAAUUUUAGAAUUUAUCUAUUGGUUAAAAAAGGGGUGUGACAAUUGUUUAAGCCUUGAUUUUGGAUAUGAACUGAAGAGAAGGUGAUUUUUGUUAAUAUAAAUGAAAAGUGGUGAUUUAAAGAGAUUGCAUGGUUUGUUACAAAAUACUUGACCAUGAUCACAUGUUUGUUGAAAUGUUGAAAAGAAAGAAUCCCUGCAUAGUUUGAAAUAUGUUUUGAAAUAUGAAUCCUCUUGUACCGUUUGAAUGAUUUGGUGGUCCAAACACUUUGUUUUGAAUGAAAGUAUUGUAACAUGAUACUAUAUGUCUUAGACAUAUGACUUGCAAGUAUUGGUAUGGCGAUACCAAAGUUAGACAAUGCGAUAACAGACUUAGAACAGAAUAGAAGUUAGAUUUCAAUUAGAUUUUCAGACUUUGAGUUUUGAAAGAUGCAUGUUCAGAAAAGGUUAAAAAUGGGUUUAAGAGAUGUUAGGUGGUUACCCGAAGAAGGCACAAGUUCAGCUAACUCAUUGCCCGAAAUCGUAUUUUUUCGAUAUGGGUUAUUAUGUUCCCCAGAGGAAUUAUACGCCGGUUUAGUGCCCUGUGGCGUAUCAGACUCAGACACUCCAACCUUUGAGGCAAACUUGGGUCGGGGGCUUACCCGUCGAGUAAAUGGCAGAUUCCAUAUAUCCCGUGGAAUAUCAGACUUGUAGGGUGUACCACCUAGCUCAGAACUAAGACAAAGAUGUUGAGUUGAUUUUCAGAACUGUUUUUAAAAAGCCUAUUUACAAUGCCCAUGGAUUUUCAAAUGGUUGAUGAUGACGUACUUUUCAUGAAAUGUUCUCACUUAUAUUAUAUAUUAUUAUUUUAUUUUUGGACGAUUCUGUGUACCAGUACAUUUGUAUUGACCCCCUAUAUUUCAGGAUCCGAGGCUCAAUCUAGUGGUUCCGCUAAGCCGUAGAUUUGUCAGACAGAAGUGUGCAGUUGGUGAGCCUUCCUUAUGUCGAAAAUCCUGUUUUUAGAACAUUAUUAUUUCAUUUUAUUUUGGUCCGACUGGGGACUUUGUCCCAGUCUUUAGACAGAUGUUGGUUUUCACAUUGUAAGAGAUUUUGCAGACUGGUGUCAUAUGUUUCCGAAUGUUAUGAAACUCAAGUUUCGUAUUGUUCAGC